Molecule: long non-coding RNA, 566 nt
Organism: Carassius carassius (crucian carp)
Lineage: Eukaryota; Metazoa; Chordata; Actinopteri; Cypriniformes; Cyprinidae
Exons: 2
Source: RefSeq, a predicted model, not a curated record
GGCGACGGGAAAUGAGAGGAAAUUUACAGAUAUAAAGUUAACAGAGUGAUAAAAGUGAGUGUAUUAGCAAGCUAAAGAAUCAACACAGAAGACAGAAUAAGGAGGAGCAACCGAGAGUUUGGAAAACUCCGUUUUCCACCUGUAUUUAUCUCGGUCAGGUCUUAUGAACAGAGUGAAAACUACUUGGAAGAUCCUUCUCUAUCGAUGGCGAGCCUCCCAGUGUGAUCGUGAAGAGACGCAGACCAACUCAUCGAACGUUUCCCCUGGUGGUUGGAAAGUAUCAGUCGCCUGAGCUGGUACCCACUUUCAUCCAAGUGCAAACUUCCUUUUAAAAGGAGGAACUGUCACAGAACUGGUGACACACACUUUUGACACCGAACUAUUGACAGGAUUGAUUAAUACAGAAAGUGAUCACAAAACAAACUUUAACGACUACAAAAGGACAAAAUCAGAGACUCAUUUAUUUUAAAGGGCCCAUUUUUUUUUUUUUCAUAUAAAUGUUAUGCAAUUGUGUUUCAACUGUUAUUUGCAACUUAAUGUGAGUAAAAGUUACUGGUUACUAUUUA